CCUACGGGUGGCAGCAGUGGGGAAUAUUGGACAAUGGGCGAAAGCCUGAUCCAGCAACGCCGCGUGAGCGAUGAAGGCCUUCGGGUCGUAAAGCUCUGUCCUCAAGGGAGCUAAUGACGGUACUUGAGGCGGAAGCCCCAGCUAACUACGUGCAAGCAGCCGCGGUAACACGUAGAGGGCUAGCGUUAUCCGGAAUUACUGGGCGUAAAGGGUGCGUAGGUGGUUUCGUAAGUCAGAGGUGAAAGGCUACGGCUCAACCGUAGUAAGCCGUUGAAACUGGGAAACUUGAGUGCAGGAGAGGAGAGUGGAAUUCGUGGUGUAGCGGUGAAAUGCGUAGAUAUUACGAGGAACACCAGUUGCGAAGGCGGCUCACUGGACUGUAACUGACACUGAGGCACGAAAGCGUGGGGAGCAAACAGGAUUAGAUACCCUUGUAGUC
RNAcentral lists this ribosomal RNA (439 nucleotides) under uncultured bacterium. Its description in RNAcentral is "partial 16S ribosomal RNA". It matches the Rfam family "Bacterial small subunit ribosomal RNA", at positions 338 to 795 of the family's 1533-position model. The record is from RNAcentral.